AAUCAUAGAAGGAAUACAAUCGUAAGUAUUAUAUAUUACCCACAAAAGAGGAAGCACAUUUUUGUAUUAACAUCCUAAUGUAUCCAUAUUCUAAUUCUUGUGUAUGUAUUUCUUUUUAUUAUUCCUUUUAUUCCUCUUUAAUUACAACAACAAUAACAACAACAACGAUGAAAGAA
RNAcentral lists this non-coding RNA (176 nucleotides) under Fragilariopsis kerguelensis. The record is from RNAcentral. Lineage: Eukaryota; Bacillariophyta; Bacillariophyceae; Bacillariales; Bacillariaceae.